RNAcentral lists this ribosomal RNA (489 nucleotides) under uncultured bacterium. RNAcentral's name for it is "partial 16S ribosomal RNA". It matches the Rfam family "Bacterial small subunit ribosomal RNA", at positions 30 to 507 of the family's 1533-position model. The record is from RNAcentral.
UUGCACGCUGGCGGCAGGCCUCACACAUGCCAGUCGCACGGUAACAGCAAGCAGCUUGCUGCUUUGCUGACGAGUGGCGGACGGGUGAGUAAUGUCUGGGAAACUGCCUGAUGGAGGGGGAUAACUACUGGAAACGGUAGCUAAUACCGCAUAACGUCGCAAGACCAAAGAGGGGGACCUUCGGGCCUCUUGCCAUCGGAUGUGCCCAGAUGGGAUUAGCUAGUAGGUGGGGUAACGGCUCACCUAGGCGACGAUCCCUAGCUGGUCUGAGAGGAUGACCAGCCACACUGGAACUGAGACACGGUCCAGACUCCUACGGGAGGCAGCAGUGGGGAAUAUUGCACAAUGGGCGCAAGCCUGAUGCAGCCAUGCCGCGUGUAUGAAGAAGGCCUUCGGGUUGUAAAGUACUUUCAGCGGGGAGGAAGGGAGUAAAGUUAAUACCUUUGCUCAUUGACGUUACCCGCAGAAGAAGCACCGGCUAACUCCGUG